GGGUUGUGAGGUUAAGCGACUAAGCGUACACGGUGGAUGCCCUGGCAGUCAGAGGCGAUGAAGGGCGUGCUAAUCUGCGAUAAGCGCCGGUAAGGUGAUAUGAACCGUUAUAACCGGCGAUACCCGAAUGGGGAAACCCAGUGUGAUUCGUCACACUAUCAUUAACUGAAUCCAUAGGUUAAUGAGGCGAACCGGGGGAACUGAAACAUCUAAGUACCCCGAGGAAAAGAAAUCAACCGAGAUUCCCCCAGUAGCGGCGAGCGAACGGGGAGGAGCCCAGAGCCUGAAUCAGCAUGUGUGUUAGUGGAAGCGUCUGGAAAGGCGCGCGAUACAGGGUGACAGCCCCGUACACAAAAGCGCAUGUGCUGUGAGCUCGAUGAGUAGGGCGGGACACGUGGUAUCCUGUCUGAAUAUGGGGGGACCAUCCUCCAAGGCUAAAUACUCCUGACUGACCGAUAGUGAACCAGUACCGUGAGGGAAAGGCGAAAAGAACCCCGGCGAGGGGAGUGAAAAAGAACCUGAAACCGUGUACGUACAAGCAGUGGGAGCNNNNNNNNNNNNNNNNNNNNNNNNNNNNNNNNNNNNNNNNNNNNNNNNGGGCGUUAAGUUGCAGGGUAUAGACCCGAAACCCGGUGAUCUAGCCAUGGGCAGGUUGAAGGUUGGGUAACACUAACUGGAGGACCGAACCGACUAAUGUUGAAAAAUUAGCGGAUGACCUGUGGCUGGGGGUGAAAGGCCAAUCAAACCGGGAGAUAGCUGGUUCUCCCCGAAAGCUAUUUAGGUAGCGCCUCGUGAAUUCAUCUCCGGGGGUAGAGCACUGUUUCGGCUAGGGGGCCAUCCCGGCUUACCAACCCGAUGCAAACUGCGAAUACCGGAGAAUGUUAUCACGGGAGACACACGGCGGGUGCUAACGUCCGUCGUGAAGAGGGAAACAACCCAGACCGCCAGCUAAGGUCCCAAAGUCAUGGUUAAGUGGGAAACGAUGUGGGAAGGCCCAGACAGCCAGGAUGUUGGCUUAGAAGCAGCCAUCAUUUAAAGAAAGCGUAAUAGCUCACUGGUCGAGUCGGCCUGCGCGGAAGAUGUAACGGGGCUAAACCAUGCACCGAAGCUGCGGCAGCGACACUGUGUGUUGUUGGGUAGGGGAGCGUUCUGUAAGCCUGCGAAGGUGGCCUGUGAGGGUUGCUGGAGGUAUCAGAAGUGCGAAUGCUGACAUAAGUAACGAUAAAGCGGGUGAAAAGCCCGCUCGCCGGAAGACCAAGGGUUCCUGUCCAACGUUAAUCGGGGCAGGGUGAGUCGACCCCUAAGGCGAGGCCGAAAGGCGUAGUCGAUGGGAAACGGGUUAAUAUUCCCGUACUUGGUGUUACUGCGAAGGGGGGACGGAGAAGGCUAUGUUGGCCGGGCGACGGUUGUCCCGGUUUAAGCGUGUAGGUGUGUGUUCCAGGUAAAUCCGGUUCACUUUAACACUGAGGCGUGACGACGAGGCACUACGGUGCUGAAGCAACAAAUGCCCUGCUUCCAGGAAAAGCCUCUAAGCAUCAGGUAACAUCAAAUCGUACCCCAAACCGACACAGGUGGUCAGGUAGAGAAUACCAAGGCGCUUGAGAGAACUCGGGUGAAGGAACUAGGCAAAAUGGUGCCGUAACUUCGGGAGAAGGCACGCUGACACGUAGGUGAAGUGAUUUACUCAUGGAGCUGAAGUCAGUCGAAGAUACCAGCUGGCUGCAACUGUUUAUUAAAAACACAGCACUGUGCAAACACGAAAGUGGACGUAUACGGUGUGACGCCUGCCCGGUGCCGGAAGGUUAAUUGAUGGGGUCAGCGCAAGCGAAGCUCCUGAUCGAAGCCCCGGUAAACGGCGGCCGUAACUAUAACGGUCCUAAGGUAGCGAAAUUCCUUGUCGGGUAAGUUCCGACCUGCACGAAUGGCGUAAUGAUGGCCAGGCUGUCUCCACCCGAGACUCAGUGAAAUUGAACUCGCUGUGAAGAUGCAGUGUACCCGCGGCAAGACGGAAAGACCCCGUGAACCUUUACUAUAGCUUGACACUGAACAUUGAGCCUUGAUGUGUAGGAUAGGUGGGAGGCUUUGAAGUGUGGACGCCAGUCUGCAUGGAGCCGACCUUGAAAUACCACCCUUUAAUGUUUGAUGUUCUAACGUGGACCCGUUACCCGGGUUGCGGACAGUGUCUGGUGGGUAGUUUGACUGGGGCGGUCUCCUCCUAAAGAGUAACGGAGGAGCACGAAGGUUGGCUAAUCCUGGUCGGACAUCAGGAGGUUAGUGCAAUGGCAUAAGCCAGCUUGACUGCGAGCGUGACGGCGCGAGCAGGUGCGAAAGCAGGUCAUAGUGAUCCGGUGGUUCUGAAUGGAAGGGCCAUCGCUCAACGGAUAAAAGGUACUCCGGGGAUAACAGGCUGAUACCGCCCAAGAGUUCAUAUCGACGGCGGUGUUUGGCACCUCGAUGUCGGCUCAUCACAUCCUGGGGCUGAAGUAGGUCCCAAGGGUAUGGCUGUUCGCCAUUUAAAGUGGUACGCGAGCUGGGUUUAGAACGUCGUGAGACAGUUCGGUCCCUAUCUGCCGUGGGCGCUGGAGAACUGAGGGGGGCUGCUCCUAGUACGAGAGGACCGGAGUGGACGCAUCACUGGUGUUCGGGUUGUCAUGCCAAUGGCACUGCCCGGUAGCUAAAUGCGGAAGAGAUAAGUGCUGAAAGCAUCUAAGCACGAAACUUGCCCCGAGAUGAGUUCUCCCUGAGACUUAGAGUCUCCUGAAGGAACGUUGAAGACGACGACGUUGAUAGGCCGGGUGUGUAAGCGCAGCGAUGCGUUGAGCUAACCGGUACUAAUGAACCGUGAGGCUUAACCUUACAACGCCGAAG
Molecule: ribosomal RNA, 2868 nt
Filed under: Salmonella enterica subsp. enterica serovar Enteritidis
Lineage: Bacteria; Pseudomonadati; Pseudomonadota; Gammaproteobacteria; Enterobacterales; Enterobacteriaceae
Description: bacterial LSU rRNA
Rfam family: Bacterial large subunit ribosomal RNA
Source: RNAcentral